This 390-nucleotide unclassified non-coding RNA is filed under the name Basidiomycota sp. RNAcentral's name for it is "partial contains small subunit ribosomal RNA and internal transcribed spacer 1". The stretch from base 1 to 47 matches the Rfam family "Eukaryotic small subunit ribosomal RNA", at positions 1785 to 1831 of the family's 1831-position model. The record is from RNAcentral. Lineage: Eukaryota; Fungi; Basidiomycota.
AAAGUCGUAACAAGGUUUCCGUAGGUGAACCUGCGGAAGGAUCAUUAACACUUUUCUUUAACUAACACUAUCAAUACCAAUGAGCAUCGGAGAGCCUUCUUUUGCGGGGGUCGACUAGGAAAUGGUUGGAAUGCGUCCUAGCCUGCUGUAGAAGUUAGCCCGUCGAACUCCUCGUGGGAACGGCGAUCGGUCUAACGCCCCGACUUUGGAAGGUAUACAGUCUCGACCAUGACUGGCCCUUAAUUUAACCUUUGAUUUUUGUACUUAUUUGGGCUAUGGAUUGAGAGGAGUCAAAUCGAUUCCUUUCUCUGUGGCUGUUGAUCGAUAGUCUCGAUUAUUGAUUCAAUACAAACCAAAACACAACUCUUAACAGCGGAUAUCUCGGUUCUC